GUGAGGGCAAUCUCAGUGAGUUCAGGACAGCCAGGCUAUAUAGAGAGAACCUUCCUCAGACAAGCAAAACAAACCACCACCCUGGACUAGGCGUGUAGCUCAGUAGAGUGCUUGUUUAGAAGGUCCUGAGCUCUGUCCCCAGCACCACAGAAGCCAGGCCUGGUGGACAGACCUGUAAUCUGAACAUCAAGAAGUGAAGGCAGGGAGAACAGAAGUUGAGGUCAUUUGCCUAAGCUACGUGAGACCUUACUCAAAACAUAAACUGACAUGGUUCUUUUCCACCCUUGCUUGGCAUAUUCUUGGAGAACUUACACCAAAAGAAAAAAUUGUUAGACAUGUACCUUUUUAUGUACCCAGACAGCCAUUUUCACCAUCACGAUGGAAUCUAAGGAGACAGGUUUCUAUAAAGCACGAGGGAGCUACUCCUUGGAGGAGAACCUUCUGUAUAAAACUGAGACGUGGGGUUGGGGAUUUAGCUCAGUGGCAGAGCACUUGCCUAGCAAGUGCAAGGCCCUGGGUUCAGUCCCCAGCUCCGAAAAAAAGAAGGAAAAAAAAAACAAAAAA
This 564-nucleotide long non-coding RNA is filed under the name Rattus norvegicus (Norway rat). RNAcentral describes it as "long non-coding RNA NONRATT001088". The stretch from base 467 to 529 matches the Rfam family "tRNA". The record is from RNAcentral. Lineage: Eukaryota; Metazoa; Chordata; Mammalia; Rodentia; Muridae.